CACAGCCGGCGUGCGGGCUCGGAGCACGCCAGGCCUCGCAGAUCAAAGGGACCUCUCCGGCCUCCGCACAAGGGAGAGGGAAGGGGGAAAAAAAAAAAAAAGGUUGAUUUCUUUAACGAUUGUUCGUAAAAAGUCUUGGAAGCGGGGACCAUCCCGUCUCCUCCUUCGCCUCGGGCUGCAGGAUUGCACCGGGAAACGAUUUUGGAAAGUUAAGACCUUCCUAGACAUGGCAUUGGAAAAAAAGCCCAAACCAACACCAAGCGGGCUGGGCUGUGUGAAGCCGACUCGACGCCACGGACAUCCCGGCUCCCUCCCCUCCCGAAGGCAGCCCCCCUCUGUCUCCGGCUUCUCUCCUUUCCGAGGUCCUUUCAAGCUUUAUUUCAUUUCAAGCCGCCAAAGCGGCACUGACAGAAUAAAGUUAUCAAGGAAAUAAGCUCGACAGAAAAAGCCAGUGGUGCUUUUCCCCCCCGGACCUGCUCCUUGCAGUGGAGAUUUUCCUUGCUGUCGAUCCGUGGCCUUCCCCGCGGAUUUUCGAAGAGCGCUUUUAAAAUCCUCCGUUCUCCUGAGUCCUUUUUUCAGCGGGUUUUCAUUUCUCCCGUCUCCGAUCUAAAAAGCAAGCAGAAAAAAAUCUCGAACCUUAAAUACAAAUACAAACCAGGUCAGGAGGCCCCCCCGCUCCGCUUGCUGGAGGGGGUGGGGGUAGGGGCUACCCCUAGGAAAAGUGAAAAGCUUGUUUUAAUGGGCGGUCAUUGCUAAAUCUCACCUUAGGGCCAAAACGACUCGCGACCCAUUGCCCUCCUUACGAUGUAUUUAUUUGUCUCAGUGGCACCAGCCGUCAGUCAUUAGUGGGGGGGUUAACCCCGAGAGCCGCCCCACGGUGGUGGCGGUGGUCUUGUGGCUUUUUGGUUUGUUUUAAAUACGAUUUCUCAGCAGGAACCUCUCCAGAAGAGGAGGAAUAACCUGUCCCUAGAGGGCUGCUCGGUGGAACACGGGGGGAACACGCGUGGAAGCGCAGCGAGCGACGACCCCUCCGAAAACACUUUGGUCUGAGCAAGCGGGAUUCGGUUUGCACCCCGAAGGGUUCGCUCUCAGGAAAAGCGGCGCUUGGGCCGGCAGAGAUGUUAUUUAAUGAAUAACGACGCUUUCCAGUAUUAACAAUAACGGAGGCGAAAACAAAUGCAGAAGCCCGAGUGCCGGAGGAGCCAGCGGAGCCCGCGGGCAGCCGAGCGAGCAGUCGCCGUCCCCGGGACCCCGAGUGCAGCCGGGCAGCAGCUCCGGACCCCCGCACGGCCGCGGCUGUGCUCGCAUGCACGCAGGUCUGUGGUUACAGUCACUCCACGAGCUCCAGAGCCGCUCCGUAGCUGUAUAUCCUUUUAUUUAGAUACAGCUUUCUCUUCACGUAAAGUGUAUGAAGUGCUAAGAACCUUUAUAUAGAUUUCAAAUAUUUAUGUAGUUCAGAUACGCGUGUGUGCGUGUCUGUCGUUAUAUAAAGACGGUGCAAAGA
This is a long non-coding RNA of Myiozetetes cayanensis, 1504 nucleotides long. RefSeq lists it as uncharacterized. The record is from RefSeq and is a predicted model, not a curated record. NCBI's taxonomy places the organism in Eukaryota, Metazoa, Chordata, Aves, Passeriformes, Tyrannidae. The transcript has 3 exons.